UUCUUCACAGAGAAACGGGUCCAAACCUCUUAUCAGUAACAGUGAUAACAGUCCUGCAGCGGGAGGAGAAACUUCCUCAGACUGAGAGGAGGAACAUCAGGAACCGAGACUCAGUUAGAGGAACCCAAAUAAACACACAACAGAACAAGUACUGUACAGAGAGAUAAUGGAGAAGUAUAGAUAAUGGAGAGGAAGAGAUAAUGGAGAAGUGUAAAUAAUAGAGAGGUAGAGAUAAUGGAGAAGUAUAGAUAAUGGGGAGGUAAAGAUAAUGGAGAAGUAUAGAUAAUGGAGAGGUAGAGAUAAUGGAGCGGUAGAGAUAAUGGAGAGGUAGAGAUAAUGGAGAAGUAUAGAUAAUGGAGAGGUAGAGAUAAUGGAGCGGUAGAGAUAAUGGAGAGGUAGAGAUAAUGGAGAAGUAUAGAUAAUGGAGAGGUAGAGAUAAUGGAGAAGUAUAGAUAAUGGAGAGGUAGAGAUAAUGGAGCGGUAGAGAUAAUGGAGAGGUAGAGAUAAUGGAGAAGUAUAGAUAAUGGAGAGGUAGAGAUAAUGGAGAAGUAUAGAUAAUGGAGAGGUAGAGAUAAUGGAGAAGUAGAGAUAAUGGAGAAGUAUAGAUAAUGGAGAGGUAGAGAUAAUGGAGAAGUAGAGAUAAUGGAGAAGUAGAGAUAAUGGAGCGGUAGAGAUAAUGGAGAGGUAGAGAUAAUGGAGAAGUAUAGAUAAUGGAGAGGUAGAGAUAAUGGAGAAGUAUAGAUAAUGGAGAGGUAGAGAUAAUGGAGAAUUAUAGAUAAUGUUGAGGUAGAGAUAAUGGAGAAGUAUAGAUAAUGGAGAGGAAGAGAUAAUGGAGAGGUAGAGAUAAUGGAGAAGUAUAGAUAAUGGAGAGGUAGAAAUAAUGGAGAAGUAUAGAUAAUGGAGAGAUAUAGAUAAUGGAGAAACAGGAUUUAAAUCAGAUUAUCCUUUAAAAUAUAUAAUUUAUAUAUGACUAAUAUAAUCUGCUGAAACCUCAACAGUUUACAGUUUUGGGCUCAAUAAUGCAGAAAAAUAAUUGAAGGGUUUUGGAUUCUCCAUUACUGUCACAAUAUUGUUACCAUUCCUCUGCUGGCAGGAUAACCAGCAAGCUGGUUGGGUAUUUUUGUUAAGGGGCGGGGCUUUAUUUAUAGCACAUUCUUCAGGAUUACACACAUUCAGUACAGAGCGGAUUAUAUAGAAACUGAUUCUGGCCGGAAUGUGAAUUAUCAUAAGUUGGAAAAGGGCCUGAUGAUCAUUAUGUGUCUAGACAGAUGGAACAGCCAGAACCCACCAUCAUUAGCCCACCCCCACUGCACUAUCCUCUAUCAGCCCUCACUACAACUCCCAUAAUUCACCUCACCUUACCAUGAGCACACUGACCAGUGUUCAACCAACUUCACUCACAAGAUAACACCUCACAACGUUUACAGUUACUGGUGUUCCCAACCAUCCCCUGAAGUAACCUUUAGUAAUUUUGUAACUUCUGGGUAAUCUGUGUAAUUAUGUAAUUAGAAGCUGAUCUGUGCUGCAGGAUCUUCAUUUGAAUACAAUAUAAAUAUUAUUAUGAAAUGAAUAAUAAUUUUUAAGGAUGAUAAUUUAAUCCCGUGCUGUAGAGCAGGGUAAAGAGCAGGGUGUUACUAUAAGCAUGUUUUUGUUAUUAUAGUUGAGGCACCAGGUGUCCAUUUCCUGUCCUAUUGUGGGGGGGUGGCAGUGACUUCCUGUUUUUACGAUUGGCACCAGAGCAGAAAUCUCCUCCAUUGUUUCUCUGAGAAAACUAACCUCCAGCUGCUGGUUCUCCGCUGAUUAACGGCCGAGUUCUGCUAAUGGUUCUGGAAUGCAGGAGAAACAAUCCUGCAGUCGAGCUGCAGGACAAUAACAAUAUCCUGAACUGCAGGAAAACAGAUCAGCACCAUUAACACUCAUUAGCCCAGCGCUAACAUUCAUUAGCCCAGCACUUACGGUCAUUAGCCCAGAGCUAACGCUCAUUAGCCCAGCGCUAACAUUCAUUAGCCCAGCGCUAACGCUCAUAGCCUCUCUCUCUGUU
Long non-coding RNA from Astyanax mexicanus (Mexican tetra), 2041 nucleotides. RefSeq lists it as uncharacterized. The transcript has 3 exons. The record is from RefSeq and is a predicted model, not a curated record. Lineage: Eukaryota; Metazoa; Chordata; Actinopteri; Characiformes; Acestrorhamphidae.